GAUGAACGCUGGCGGCGUGCCUAAUACAUGCAAGUCGAGCGAACAGACGAGGAGCUUGCUCCUCUGACGUUAGCGGCGGACGGGUGAGUAACACGUGGAUAACCUACCUAUAAGACUGGGAUAACUUCGGGAAACCGGAGCUAAUACCGGAUAAUAUAUUGAACCGCAUGGUUCAAUAGUGAAAGACGGUUUUGCUGUCACUUAUAGAUGGAUCCGCGCCGCAUUAGCUAGUUGGUAAGGUAACGGCUUACCAAGGCGACGAUGCGUAGCCGACCUGAGAGGGUGAUCGGCCACACUGGAACUGAGACACGGUCCAGACUCCUACGGGAGGCAGCAGUAGGGAAUCUUCCGCAAUGGGCGAAAGCCUGACGGAGCAACGCCGCGUGAGUGAUGAAGGUCCUCGGAUCGUAAAACUCUGUUAUUAGGGAAGAACAAAUGUGUAAGUAACUAUGCACGUCUUGACGGUACCUAAUCAGAAAGCCACGGCUAACUACGUGC
Molecule: ribosomal RNA, 498 nt
Filed under: uncultured bacterium
Lineage: Bacteria
Description: partial 16S ribosomal RNA
Rfam family: Bacterial small subunit ribosomal RNA
Source: RNAcentral